This 253-nucleotide ribosomal RNA is filed under the name uncultured bacterium. RNAcentral's name for it is "partial 16S ribosomal RNA". It matches the Rfam family "Bacterial small subunit ribosomal RNA", at positions 524 to 776 of the family's 1533-position model. The record is from RNAcentral.
UACGUAGGGUGCGAGCGUUAAUCGGAAUUACUGGGCGUAAAGCGUGCGCAGGCGGCGCGUUAAGACAGGUGUGAAAGCCCCGGGCUUAACUUGGGAAUUGCGCUUGUGACUGGCGUGCUGGAGUGUGGCAGAGGGAGGUGGAAUUCCACGUGUAGCAGUGAAAUGCGUAGAGAUGUGGAGGAACACCGAUGGCGGAGGCAGCCUCCUGGGCCAGCACUGACGCUCAUGCACGAAAGCGUGGGGAGCAAACAGG